GUAACGAUAGGAAGAAGAAGAGGACGAGGAGGAGUUUUUAUCGGCCUAGUUUAGGUAUUAUACUGUUUCUUUUUGUUACAUUUUUCUUCUUCUUCUUCUUCUUC
This 104-nucleotide non-coding RNA is filed under the name Bathycoccus prasinos. The record is from RNAcentral. Lineage: Eukaryota; Viridiplantae; Chlorophyta; Mamiellophyceae; Mamiellales; Bathycoccaceae.